This 253-nucleotide ribosomal RNA is filed under the name uncultured bacterium. RNAcentral describes it as "partial 16S ribosomal RNA". It matches the Rfam family "Archaeal small subunit ribosomal RNA", at positions 474 to 727 of the family's 1478-position model. The record is from RNAcentral.
UACCAGCACCCCGAGUGGUCGGGACGUUUAUUGGGCCUAAAGCAUCCGUAGCCGGUUCUACAAGUCUUCCGUUAAAUCCAACUGCUUAACAGGUGGGCUGCGGAAGAUACUAUAGAGCUAGGAGGCGGGAGAGGCAAGCGGUACUCGAUGGGUAGGGGUAAAAUCCGUUGAUCCAUUGAAGAACACCCGUGGCGAAGGCGGCGCUCUGGGCCGGUACUGACACUGAGGAGCGAAAGCGUGGGUAGCAAACAGG